UUUUAUUUCAUUUGCAUUCACAAUAAAAUCAAAAUGCUAGCUGACUGUGCAAAGAGUCACUGUUUACAGCCACAACUGGAGGGAGAGAGGUAGGAAAGCUUAAAGGCAGCAGGUUUAGCUUUAAGGUGGUAGUUUCAGCCCUCUUAAAAUGACCAAUAACCAUGUACAAUUAUGGGAAAUCUGGCCCUAAAGACAAUCAUGAUCAAUCCUCUAUAGAUUAGGGCAUUGAAUCCUGAGUAGUUCACAAACACACACAAAAUUUAGCGAUUACUUUACAUAUUAGCUUUAAAAAAUUUCAUGCAAUUGUGAGUUUUAAUGCAGCACAGUUCCUUAAAAUUGUCAAUAUUGUUUCCUUAAUGGAACUAGUACAUUCCUAAAGACACAUGCAUUUUUACAAAUUCUUACUAUUGGCUUCAACCGAAAAAUUGAAGGCAUUUUCCUCUGGAAAAUAUUUAAGUCCCAGAAAAUAAAACUUCUUGAGAAUGCCUACUUAAGAUGAAUUUUUUCUUCAGUUUGUGCAACCUGCUGGCUUUUAAAAAGGGUGAGUUUCUUUGGCGUGAAAGGAAAAUACAGGAGACAUACAAAUCUUCACAGUUGUAAAUGAACAAAUGAGGGUACACACUUCCUGGAAGACAAAUCUCACUAAGAGCAUGUUUACUAAAAAACCUCAGUCGGGGGGACCAGAAAAGGCUAUAAAACGUUUUUAAGAAAUUUCAAAUCAAUUCACUGUGUAACAAUUUCAGUAACAAAUAUCUUUAUACAAUCUAUUUAAAAGCUAGGUCCUUCCCCUAGCAUGUUAAAUCAUUUUAUUUACAAAAACGUACAUACAAAAUCUGAUAAUUGAGGUAUUAGAAAAGUGAGAUAUAUUCAUACAUCAAAGAGGUACUCAUGAAUAUCCAUCAUAACUGAAAAUGAGCUUAUUUCUCAGCAUUAUAAAAAUGUUACAUUACAACCCCAGCAUUCUUUACAUGUCUUUAAUUAGUAGAAAAUAGAUUUUGGCACUUGGGCAGUCUGCGUUAUUCCUGGGUCUUUUCAUAUGAAGAUAAACACUGAUUGCCAUUAAUAGAACCUGUGCUUUGAGCUCUUCCCAGCAGCGCUAACUGGCUGUCCCAAGCCGGGCACCGCCUGGGGCCAGGUGUUUCCCAUCCCCACUCCUGCCCUUCUGAUGAAUUACCACUUACUAAAUAAAUGAUCAGCUAGAAUCAAGGAUGACACACCAUGGCCAGAGAACACAGCAAAAUUAACCUGGCUCUCUCAGGAACAAAAAUACCUGCCCUUGCAUCAGCAUUAAUGAUCUUCCAAAAAGAAGAGUAAAUAAUACACCUCCAUGUUCCAGUAUGACCACCGGUUAAACGAGAAAUGACCAACCUCAUUGAGAGGUGAAAAGAUUUCAAAUUCACCUAAAAUAACAAAUUAACUUUAACUUCGUAAAAUGUUUUAAUGCUAAAAAGCUAUGGCAGUCUCCUCAGAAACCCAUUUUUGGCAAUUGAAUCUCUGCAUCUCUGCAACCCAAAGAACUUCCAAAUAAUAAAAACUAAGAGGGCUGCUUUUCUCAGAACGCCUAUGUCUCAAGGCGGGGGCAGGGAGAGGUGGUGUCAGCCAUUGUAUAUCACUAUCUCUGGGCUACAGGUUAACAGUGAUCUCUGUUCAUAGGUGUGAAAGACCAGUACCAAUCUUCUGGUCCUCAGAAUUUAUGAAGUAUUUCGAGUUCCAUAUAAGGCCCAAGUAAAACAUGAACUCAGCAAAUUCACAACAUGACAUAAAAGAACAAAGUGAAGAUUCGGCAUGCACGAUGAAAGUAAUUUCGCAGUCAUAUGACUAAAACAGACCUCUUCCUUCCACUGGCAUCCAUAAACCUUUAAAUACAAAAGCAUCCCUAACUACCAUUUAAAGCUUCUCACAAGAACGGGGCAAAAAGCCCUUUAGAUAUUGCUCUGGUGUGUUAGCAAGGGGAAAAAAAGCAUUACUUAAGUACAAAAAAAAACAUAGUAAAUUUUAAAAACUGCCUUAGAAAUUAAUUGCUAUGGAACAAGGACAGAAACCCCCCACAAGUUUUGGUUUAAUGUAUGCAAAAAUGCUCUCCUUUGUAUUGAUAUCUGACACGAGUUGACUAACUUUGAAUACUUUUAGGGAAAUCAAGUUCAUGCUGUUAUUUUCAAAUUUGCCAGAACACAAAGUAGAGAGAGAACAAUUGCAUACAGAUCACUUCUUCCAAAUAAGUCUUGGAUGAGGCAGAAAGUGGGGAACAAAAUAGAUUGCUUGGGUUUUUUU
Molecule: long non-coding RNA, 2271 nt
Filed under: Equus caballus (horse)
Lineage: Eukaryota; Metazoa; Chordata; Mammalia; Perissodactyla; Equidae
Description: lncRNA (ENSECAG00000047541.1)
Source: RNAcentral